This is a long non-coding RNA of Mugil cephalus (flathead mullet), 795 nucleotides long. RefSeq lists it as uncharacterized. The transcript is spliced from 2 exons. Lineage: Eukaryota; Metazoa; Chordata; Actinopteri; Mugiliformes; Mugilidae. The record is from RefSeq and is a predicted model, not a curated record.
AGAGUUUUACUGAGAAGUAAUAUUAGCUACAUAUAUAUAUAUGUGUGUGUGUGUGUGUUUUAUUGUAAUUUAUUGUUGGAACUGAAAUAGUUAACUGUGGGCCGUAACUAACGUUACGCCAAAACAACAACAUCGAGAAACUCAUCUGACAGCCCUCCAGGACGUAACUCAAUAAGAAGCAACUUAAGAGUGAACACCCUAAACACAAACUAGUCUAUGGAUGAUCUACGUUGGCUAUGUGAUGGGUGGAAGACCUGGUUCAAAUAGACCCUCGCUGUGAAAUGCCUCUACUCUUCCUUCCUUUGUGGACAAAGUCGGGAGGAUUCAGCCCUGCUUGGAUGCACAAAUGGUUAUUUAAUUUACAUUUAGCUUAUCUCCGAGGGUUAGUAUGAUGAGUCGUUACUGUUUAGCCGUCAACUGUAAAACAAUAACCUUUUUUUUUUUUUUCUCCUUUAUAGCCUGACGGGGUGACCAAUGCUCUGCAUCAUUUUCCAGUCACGCCUCUAUUUCCAUAUGAAAAUAUAAUGGGUUACAGUAAAAUUUAACAUGCACAAAAACUCUCUCGCACACACACACACACACACACACAUAUAAUCGAGCUGAGCCGUCCCGCCCUCGGGACUUGCACAAUACUGAGCUCAACCCGACAGGACGUUUCUUGUAAAUUACAAUUAUUUCUUUAUACUGCAACGCGAGAACUGAUUGGCUAUCGCCAGGGGACACCAACGCUGACCCCCCGAGUGAUACAAGAAGUAGGAUUAAGGAAAGGAGAUACUAGGUUCACACACACACACA